RNAcentral lists this unclassified non-coding RNA (353 nucleotides) under soil metagenome. RNAcentral describes it as "partial contains 5.8S ribosomal RNA, internal transcribed spacer 2, and large subunit ribosomal RNA". The stretch from base 1 to 120 matches the Rfam family "5.8S ribosomal RNA", at positions 35 to 154 of the family's 154-position model. The record is from RNAcentral.
GAUGAAGAACGUAGCGAAAUGCGAUAAGUAAUGUGAAUUGCAGAAUUCAGUGAAUCAUCGAAUCUUUGAACGCACAUUGCGCCCGCCAGUAUUCUGGCGGGCAUGCCUGUUCGAGCGUCAUUACAACCCUCAGGCCCCCGGGCCUGGCGUUGGGGAUCGGCGGAGCCCCCCGUGGGCACACGCCGUCCCCCAAAUACAGUGGCGGUCCCGCCGCAGCUUCCAUCGCGUAGUAGCUAACACCUCGCGACUGGAGAGCGGCGCGGCCACGCCGUAAAACACCCAACUCUUCUGAAAUGUUGACCUCGGAUCAGGUAGGAAUACCCGCUGAACUUAAGCAUAUCAAUAGCGGAGGA